Molecule: ribosomal RNA, 2145 nt
Filed under: Salmonella enterica subsp. enterica serovar Rubislaw
Lineage: Bacteria; Pseudomonadati; Pseudomonadota; Gammaproteobacteria; Enterobacterales; Enterobacteriaceae
Description: partial 23S ribosomal RNA
Rfam family: Bacterial large subunit ribosomal RNA
Source: RNAcentral
AACCGAGUCUUAAUUGGGCGUUAAGUUGCAGGGUAUAGACCCGAAACCCGGUGAUCUAGCCAUGGGCAGGUUGAAGGUUGGGUAACACUAACUGGAGGACCGAACCGACUAAUGUUGAAAAAUUAGCGGAUGACCUGUGGCUGGGGGUGAAAGGCCAAUCAAACCGGGAGAUAGCUGGUUCUCCCCGAAAGCUAUUUAGGUAGCGCCUCGUGAAUUCAUCUCCGGGGGUAGAGCACUGUUUCGGCUAGGGGGCCAUCCCGGCUUACCAACCCGAUGCAAACUGCGAAUACCGGAGAAUGUUAUCACGGGAGACACACGGCGGGUGCUAACGUCCGUCGUGAAGAGGGAAACAACCCAGACCGCCAGCUAAGGUCCCAAAGUCAUGGUUAAGUGGGAAACGAUGUGGGAAGGCCCAGACAGCCAGGAUGUUGGCUUAGAAGCAGCCAUCAUUUAAAGAAAGCGUAAUAGCUCACUGGUCGAGUCGGCCUGCGCGGAAGAUGUAACGGGGCUAAACCAUGCACCGAAGCUGCGGCAGCGACGCUGAUGCGUUGUUGGGUAGGGGAGCGUUCUGUAAGCCUGCGAAGGUGGCCUGUGAGGGUUGCUGGAGGUAUCAGAAGUGCGAAUGCUGACAUAAGUAACGAUAAAGCGGGUGAAAAGCCCGCUCGCCGGAAGACCAAGGGUUCCUGUCCAACGUUAAUCGGGGCAGGGUGAGUCGACCCCUAAGGCGAGGCCGAAAGGCGUAGUCGAUGGGAAACGGGUUAAUAUUCCCGUACUUGGUGUUACUGCGAAGGGGGGACGGAGAAGGCUAUGUUGGCCGGGCGACGGUUGUCCCGGUUUAAGCGUGUAGGCUGGUUUUCCAGGCAAAUCCGGAAAAUCAAGGCUGAGGCGUGACGACGAGGCACUACGGUGCUGAAGCAACAAAUGCCCUGCUUCCAGGAAAAGCCUCUAAGCAUCAGGUAACAUCAAAUCGUACCCCAAACCGACACAGGUGGUCAGGUAGAGAAUACCAAGGCGCUUGAGAGAACUCGGGUGAAGGAACUAGGCAAAAUGGUGCCGUAACUUCGGGAGAAGGCACGCUGACACGUAGGUGAAGUGAUUUACUCAUGGAGCUGAAGUCAGUCGAAGAUACCAGCUGGCUGCAACUGUUUAUUAAAAACACAGCACUGUGCAAACACGAAAGUGGACGUAUACGGUGUGACGCCUGCCCGGUGCCGGAAGGUUAAUUGAUGGGGUCAGCGCAAGCGAAGCUCCUGAUCGAAGCCCCGGUAAACGGCGGCCGUAACUAUAACGGUCCUAAGGUAGCGAAAUUCCUUGUCGGGUAAGUUCCGACCUGCACGAAUGGCGUAAUGAUGGCCAGGCUGUCUCCACCCGAGACUCAGUGAAAUUGAACUCGCUGUGAAGAUGCAGUGUACCCGCGGCAAGACGGAAAGACCCCGUGAACCUUUACUAUAGCUUGACACUGAACAUUGAGCCUUGAUGUGUAGGAUAGGUGGGAGGCUUUGAAGUGUGGACGCCAGUCUGCAUGGAGCCGACCUUGAAAUACCACCCUUUAAUGUUUGAUGUUCUAACGUGGACCCGUGAUCCGGGUUGCGGACAGUGUCUGGUGGGUAGUUUGACUGGGGCGGUCUCCUCCUAAAGAGUAACGGAGGAGCACGAAGGUUGGCUAAUCCUGGUCGGACAUCAGGAGGUUAGUGCAAUGGCAUAAGCCAGCUUGACUGCGAGCGUGACGGCGCGAGCAGGUGCGAAAGCAGGUCAUAGUGAUCCGGUGGUUCUGAAUGGAAGGGCCAUCGCUCAACGGAUAAAAGGUACUCCGGGGAUAACAGGCUGAUACCGCCCAAGAGUUCAUAUCGACGGCGGUGUUUGGCACCUCGAUGUCGGCUCAUCACAUCCUGGGGCUGAAGUAGGUCCCAAGGGUAUGGCUGUUCGCCAUUUAAAGUGGUACGCGAGCUGGGUUUAGAACGUCGUGAGACAGUUCGGUCCCUAUCUGCCGUGGGCGCUGGAGAACUGAGGGGGGCUGCUCCUAGUACGAGAGGACCGGAGUGGACGCAUCACUGGUGUUCGGGUUGUCAUGCCAAUGGCACUGCCCGGUAGCUAAAUGCGGAAGAGAUAAGUGCUGAAAGCAUCUAAGCACGAAACUUGCCCCGA